RNAcentral lists this ribosomal RNA (497 nucleotides) under uncultured bacterium. RNAcentral describes it as "partial 16S ribosomal RNA". It matches the Rfam family "Bacterial small subunit ribosomal RNA", at positions 28 to 507 of the family's 1533-position model. The record is from RNAcentral.
GAUGAACGCUGGCGGCGUGCCUAAUACAUGCAAGUCGAGCGAACGGACGAGAAGCUUGCUUCUCUGAUGUUAGCGGCGGACGGGUGAGUAACACGUGGAUAACCUACCUAUAAGACUGGGAUAACUUCGGGAAACCGGAGCUAAUACCGGAUAAUAUUUUGAACCGCAUGGUUCAAAAGUGAAAGACGGUCUUGCUGUCACUUAUAGAUGGAUCCGCGCUGCAUUAGCUAGUUGGUAAGGUAACGGCUUACCAAGGCAACGAGGCAUAGCCGACCUGAGAGGGGGGUCGGCCACCUUGGAACUGAGCCGCGCACAAGACGCCUACGGGAGGCAGCAGUAGGGAAUCUGCCGCAAUGGGCGAAAGCCUGACGGAGCAACGCCGCGUGAGUGAUGAAGGUCUUCGGAUCGUAAAACUCUGUUAUUAGGGAAGAACAUAUGUGUAAGUAACUGUGCACAUCUUGACGGUACCGAAUCAGAAAGCCACGGCUAACUACGUG